This 253-nucleotide ribosomal RNA is filed under the name uncultured bacterium. RNAcentral's name for it is "partial 16S ribosomal RNA". It matches the Rfam family "Bacterial small subunit ribosomal RNA", at positions 524 to 776 of the family's 1533-position model. The record is from RNAcentral.
UACGUAGGGUGCAAGCGUUGUCCGGAAUUAUUGGGCGUAAAGAGCGUGUAGGCGGCCCGAUUAGUCUGCUGUGAAAGUCCAGGGCUCAACCCUGGAAUGCCGGUGGAUACUGUCGGGCUAGAGUCCGGAAGGGGCGAGUGGAAUUCCUGGUGUAGCGGUGAAAUGCGCAGAUAUCAGGAAGAACACCCGUGGCGAAAGCGGCUCUCUGGGACGGUACUGACGCUGAGACGCGAAAGCGUGGGGAGCGAACAGG